Felis catus (domestic cat) is the source of this 1060-nucleotide long non-coding RNA. RefSeq lists it as uncharacterized. The transcript is spliced from 2 exons. NCBI's taxonomy places the organism in Eukaryota, Metazoa, Chordata, Mammalia, Carnivora, Felidae. The record is from RefSeq and is a predicted model, not a curated record.
CGACGGGCAGAGGGUAGGGGCACGGGGGAGGCAGAGCCCCCAGAGCUGGCUGGAUCCUGGCCUGCUGCCCUCAGAUCGGAGCCAGAAGCUGUCCCUGGCCUUCAGGAGUAAGAACGCCCCGAGGCAAGAGCUGCCUCACGCCUGGACCCGGCCGCGGGGAAUUGCUUGGUCGGCAGGACAGCUGGGGUUUCUGUUACCUGCAUUCCCUGCCCCUCAUUCCCCUUGUCAACAGCUUGCAACUAAAGGUGUCUGGCCUACGGAAACACUCUGUAUCAAGACACAAGAGCAAUGAUAUUUCGAGCAACUCCUGCUUUGUAAGGGAGGGUGUCCCUGUCCCAGGUGAUGGAUGGGGCUGUCUAGGCGUUGAGCUGUGAAGUCACUUAGCAGUUCUCUCAGGGUGCCCGGGAGUGGGGGGCCUGGAAACCACUGGUGCGGGACCUCCCCUCUACUCAGAGAGACAGCUCCAGGGGUCACCGGCCCCCUCGGCUGCACGUGUGUGGGCACCACCUGGCCCGUCUGCAGCCGCAGAUCACUGCCUUGAGAGCCUUCCAGUUUUAUCAUCUUUGGAGCCUUUUCCCGGCGGGACCUGAGGCCCCUCCCCCCACUCCGCUGCCCCCCCCCCCAAACAGUUCCAAUCCAUAGAGGGCUGGGGAGUGGGGGGCAAGACUGGCUGGAAAAACUCAUCAGAUAGAAUGCCCGGGAGAAGAAGAAUUUCCCCUUGGAUUGAAGUUGACUGUUUUCCAUUCGCCCUCCAGACAGCCAAUCUCUUUUCACCAAAGAGCUGCAUUUUUCAGACUCUUUUUUUCCUGGUCCUCCAGUGGCCUCUUGGAUGGGAUGGCGGGAAAGCUUCCCUGGCUAGGAAGAUGCUUGGGGCUGCAGCAAAGGGGCUCGCCUCCCGGGGUUCCUGUCCCCUUCCUCAGCCGCUGGCAAAAGGCCGAGGAGGAGAAAAUUGACUCCACCACAAGGGCCUGUGGACACCUCCGCAGAGAAAUUCGUCUUUUGUUGGGGGAAGCCCAGAUGGAAUCUCGGAGCUGGGAAAUAGAUCUGUUUGCUCGCUGUC